AUGGCUGCGCCGGCCGCUGAUGCUCGUUGCCGCCCCACCAUGGUCACGGCCUCCAUCCCCUGGAAGCCAGCGCGGGCGGCGGCGGAAUCCGACUUCGAGCGGCACGCAGUCAUCGCGACGGUGCUGGGAAACCGCCCGGAGUUCACCGUCCACGACGUCUCCAUGGCUGCCUCCCUCCAGUUCGGCCUCCCGCGAACCCAGAUGCACGUGUCACUCUUCUCCCCUGGCGACUUCCUCAUCAGGUUCUCUGAUCCUCGCUUCAAGAGCAAAGCCCUGCGUAACCCUGCUCUGUUGUGGAUCGGCGGCGCCACCCUGCGCCUUACCGCCUGGUCUCGUCGCGCUGGGGCCAGUGUGGUCCGUCUGUCGUACAAGGUCCGCGUCUGUCUGGAGGGCGCCCCGAGACAUGCUUGGUCCAUCCCUGAUGUCAAGGAGUUGCUGCCCCCCACGGCCAUCGUCGAAUCCAUCGACGAAGAGGUAUACACGGACCAGGAGUCGGACUGCUGUUGCGCUUGGGCGUGGGUGGACGACGUGUCCAAGAUCGCCACAAGAGGUAGACUCUGGGUGGAGGAGCCUUGCAACCCCUCGUCGCUUGACUUCCAUCGUCAGUUCAUGGUGGGCACGCCGGCGGUGCGCCGCCACUUCGCGCCGGUCUCCUUACUGGACUACCCCAUCAUCAUCCACCUCGACUGGGUCCACGACCAUUUCGUUCGCCCGGCCAGCCCCGACAGCAACAAGAGCAUCAGCAGCGGCUUCAGUGGAAUCUUGCCCUCUCCCCUUGACGAUGGUGUGGUCAAAUGGCGCUACAACUGGCACCGGAAGUUCGUUGACAGCACCUUCCCCCCACGCACCCCUAGGGUCUCGGCCCACUCCCGCCUGAACUUUGGGGGUGGAGGUGACCGGGACGGGCCUGCCGGCGGGCAUGGCGGCAACGGUGGCGGCCGAUGGGGUGGCGAGUCGUCCGGCCGGCAGCAGCCACCAUCGGCCGGCGGCUACGGUCACUCUUCCGGCGCCUCAGGCAAUGGGGGCGAGGGUGGUGCUCACGGUGGGCGCCGUCACCAUGACGGCCUUGCUCCAUCGGGCGGGGCGACGCUGGCUGUGUCGGGUGGACACGGAAGCUCUUCUCACGGCGACUGCUCAUCUCCGUCUGGGAUGGCCACGACUAACGGUGUUGUCGGUCUGGUAGGCGGGCCCCCUUCCUCUGGCCUAGCUACAGGAGCUCUGCAUGCCUCGGUGGCUGUGGGCAUGCCCGCUGGGGAAUACUGGGCGUCUGAUCCAAACCGAUCCGAGCUGGGUUCAGAGCCAGUUUCUCUUCUCGUGUCUCCUGCAAUGGUGGCCCUUGUCCCCACCCCUAUGCUUGUACAUGAAGACAAGCUGGUCGGCCAGGACACUGCACCUGCUGCUCCUGCCUCCCCUGCACCCGCGCUGACCGUGUGUGCAGACGACAACCUCACCUCGCUGCUACACAUGGGAGAGGACCCCAGUGGCAUAUCGCUUGGUCUGGGCGCGUCCUCCGAGCCUCUCGUACACCUUGAUGCUCCAUCGGCCCAGGAUUGCGAGGCACUGUUGGGCCGGGACGCCGCAGCCACCAACCACUCGGGCCUCCUACCAGGCCUCGACGAACUCGUGGUGGGCUUCACGGGUCACUUGCAGCCUGCAACGACACGCACAAGACAGGAGGAACAACUCGACCACUUCAUCGCCACGUUCACCUGCCCUACUACGCCGCCGCUGAUGACCACGCCGACACACCCGACACCACCUCCUCUGGCCAUCCUCCCAUCAUCGCCGCCAACUGUUGCACCUCCCCACCAGAUGGCCACCAACGACUCCAGGCGAGCCUCGCGGCCAAGCCCACGCAUGGCAUGGCCACCCUUGACAAGAUCCAGGUCGUCCUCCUGA
This 1899-nucleotide ribosomal RNA is filed under the name Triticum aestivum (bread wheat). RNAcentral describes it as "partial small subunit ribosomal RNA". Lineage: Eukaryota; Viridiplantae; Streptophyta; Magnoliopsida; Poales; Poaceae. The record is from RNAcentral.